UCCCAGGCCAUGUGCACCAAAAUGAACUUUAAACAUCAAGUUUACCAUUUCAAGCUUUUUUGGAAAACAAGCAACACAUUAACCAGUUAUUAUAUCUAUUCAAAUUAUCAUUAAACCUAUUCAAAUCAUGCCAAUUCAACCAUUUUAAGUGCCUAAUCAAUAUACCCUCAUUGGUACCACAAUUAUACAUACAUGUACAAUGAAAUAAAUCAUCACAUUACAAUCAACAUCAAUCUAAGAUUAACUAGGUACAUACUUCACAUAUUUACAUAUCAAACGAGGUCAUUAACACAACAACCUAUUAUAUGCCAUAUAAUCCAAAAUAAACAUUCAAAAACUACCGAUAUCGGAUGAAUAAUGUGACUUGAGUGAUGAUCCGGUCUUCCGUCCCACAAAAAGAUAUCUACAAGAAAAUGCAAGCCACACAAGUAAGCUUAUUGAAGCUUAGUAAGUUCGAAGGAUAGUAACAAUGAAUCUAACUGAAAUAAACAUAACAAUUUAAUCAAAUACAAUUCCACAACUAAUGUUUCCUGUCAUCCAUAAUUUUAAACCGGUAAAUUACAUAGCUCAAUUCAAUUCUCAAAUAAUAAUUUCCGAAAAUCAUACAUGUCCACAACAAAAUCACUUCAAGAUAUCAAGUACAAAACAUGCCAUUCUAAGUCUUUAAACAAGUAAUUAAUCUAAUAAUUACGACUUGAUGAACAACUUACAAAUACGAGUACGCAAGUAGUCCAACCAAAACACACCAAGCGCUCAUUAGAGCUAAUCCAACCAAUAACAUUACUCGGCACUUAGUGCCCAGCCCAACAUCCAUCCAAAACACACCUCGACACUAAAUACCAGCUUGAAGGCUUUACAUCUGCCCCUGGUAACACACUAGAAUCAAGGAGUAAUACACGAUGGCUCGCAACAAAUGCUGAACCUCAGCAUACUCAGGAAAUAUAUAAUCCAUGUAACAUCUCCUCCUCUUCAAGCCCCAUAUAACAUGCCAUGUAAUCAGUCGUACUCUAUCUCGCGUUCAUCCGACCCAAACACAAUAAUUCAAUAGGCAUUUUCCAAGUAAUUCCACAUCAUUAAUAUAACAAUUAAUAUCCAUUAUUCCAUAGCAUAUCAUUAUACAAUUCAUGAAAAUAUUAAAUUACAAGCCGAACGAACUUCCUUAGACUGAAUUAUAAUAGUUGCAAAAGUUUAAGAACUUUCGCAGUUUUACCUUUUCCACAUAAGUCAAUAGGGUCUUGAUCUAAAAUGUAAAAUUUUCUCUUUAUUAGCUUAUAUUCAUAUGCCAAUUAAUUGUUCAUUUUAUACCCUUUUAUUUUUUGAAAUUACACAAUUGCUCCUAAAUUUUACAACUUUUGCAAUUUAAUCUCUUAAUCCGAAAAUCAUCAAAUUAACCAUUUUCUCAAGUUCAAAAUUUACAGUCGAAUAAUUUAGGCCCUUAAACAGUCUCAAUUAUACCUCUAAAUCACCAUCAAACUUUGAAAUUUUGACAUUUUAACAAUUUAAUCAUUAAAUCAAAAACUAAUAAAAAUUACUUCACAAAACAACCAAAUAUCACAAUUGAAGCUUCAAACACAUAACUAUCACAAAAAAAAAAACCAAGAUUCAUCAAUGAAAAUUUCUAAAAUUUUUAACAGAUUCAAAAAUGAAAGUACAGUUUAGUUAGACCUAAUUGUAACGAUCUCAAAAUUAUAGAAAUUAUAAGAAAACGGGCAAAUUUCCAUACCAUACAAAGCCAAGGAGCUGCUAGGUCUUCAACUUCCUAGGUCUUCAAUGGUGAUUUCGACAAGUGAUAAAAGAAAGAUGAAGAAGAAAUGUCUAAUUCUUUCAAUUUGUUUUGUUUAAUUUUAAUUUAAUUACAAAACUGCCAUCCAAUAUGUUUUAAUUAAUUAAUUUUGUUCCUUUUCAGUCCACUAACCUUUAACGAGGUUAAAUUACUUCAUUGCCCCUCCCACAUUAUUAGUUAAGUUAUUAAAUUAUCUACAUGCAAUAAUUAUUAAAUUUUGCACCUUUUAUAAAUUAAUCUUUUUUUUAAUUAGUUAUCUAAACGUUAAAAUUUAUUAACUAAAUUUUUAUACGACUUUAAUGAAUUCAAAAAUAUUCCAUAAAUAAUAUUUACAGGCCGACACGAUAAAAAUUUAUAGUCCCGAAACUACGUUGCGUCAUCAUUAAAAAAUGUGCUAUUACACGAUAAAAUAAAAAAAUAAGGAAAGAUAGAAUAAAAAAAAGAGGGCUUAACUUAAUAGAUUAUUAUAGCCUAUCUCAAACCCUCAACUCUUAAUUUUUGUAUAUCAUACCCAUAUAUGUUCUCAAACCCUCAACUCUUAAUUUUUGUAUUUCAUACCCAUAUAUGUUCUCAAACCCUCAACUCUUAAUUUUUGUAUUUCAUACCCAUAUAAAUUAUUGUAGCCCAUCUCAAACCCUCAAGUCUUAAUUUUUUUUACUAUCAAGCUAAUUAUUGGCCUAAAAAAAUAAAGGUGGUGCCGCCUCUUUACCACCCACAAUAUAUAAUUUCACUCUUCACCACCCACAAUAUAUAAUUUCAGUAGAUAAUGGGGACGACAUACCAUUUUGAUAUUUAUUUUUUAUUUUUGUUUUAUCUAGAUAAAAAAAAACCCCCCACAGGGUCAUGAUUUUUCAAAACUACCUCUGUUAAUAAAUCAAUCAAAAUACUUGUGCUACACUAAGGGUUGCUGCUGUCACAACCCAAUUAUGAGAUUUUGGUGUAUACAUAGUAGAUUAACGUUUUAAUAUAAAAUUAAUUGCAUCCAUAAAAUCAUAAUCAGUCAAAAUUUUCAUUAUUUACGUUUGCAAAAUACACACUUACUUAAAUUAUAUGGUUAUAAAUAUAUUUGAAAAGAAAAAAAAAUUACUGGUUGAGAAUGGAGAAGAUGAGAAAUUGAUCGGUGAUCGGAACACUAAAAAAGUCCGCUUUAAGGGCUUGGAUUCUAUUGUUGAAAAUGAUAUGGUAGUGGACUCGAUCCCUGCGCUGGAGAUCUCAUGGAGGGAUAAAGUUUUGGGAUGAGGGGCUCUUGUCCCAAGGAGAGACGAGGAUUUUGAGUUUCUAGAUGAAGAAGUGGUCAAAACGACAGUUGAUGGUAUUCCUGCUAUUAAUUUUUCUGAGAGGAUCGAACAGUUUCUUUUCAGAGAUAUGGCGACUACGGUGGUCAUUAAACUUCUUGGCCGAAAUAUUUGAUACUCUAUUCUACAUAAUAGAAUUCAGUCUUUAGAAGCCUUCUCAACAGAUUCACAUAAUGGAUGUGGAGAAUGGCUAUUUUCUGAUUAAAUUUCAUAGUAGAGAAGAUUACGAGAGGGUGCUUACACAGGGACCAUGGAUUGUCCUUGGUUAGUAUCUCACUGUUCAACUGUGGACACCGGAGUUUAACCCUCUUCAAGCUUUCCCUAGCAACACUAUGGUUUCGAUCAGAUUACCGGGUCUUCCAGGGUUUCUUUAUAAACGACAAAUCUUGGAGGAAAUCCGGGGUUUUAUUGGGAAGGUCACUAAGCUCAAUUUUCAGACCGAUAAGGGGCCGAGGGGAAAAUUUGAUAGAAUGGUCAUGUGCAUCGAUUUGAGGAAGCCCUUAGUUUCUUAGGUUCUGGUUAAUGGGGCGGUGCAAAGGGUGGAGUUUGAAGCGCUACCAUCCGUGUGUUUCUCCUGUGGAAGGUCCGGUCAUUCGAAGGACAUGUGUGUGGAUGUGGGGUUUUCGCAGGACGUAGCCGAGGGUAGGAAUAUAACGACGGAACGCUUACCGGAGGAAGUCAAAGCAGUGGAGCCGUCGGAGCCGUUCUGACCCUAGAUGAUUGUUGAGAGGAAGUCACGGAGAAACUCUAGGGGUCGCCAAAAUCCUGCAACGAAAAUCGCCGUGAGUGGUGGCCGGAAUCUGCCUGUAUUGAAACGGCCAAAACUAGUGAAAUAGAAGCAGAAUUUUCGGGGAUAAGAUUUCAAAAAGUAGACUUUCUGAAAGGGAUUAAUCAGAAGGGUGUUUCUAGGGCAAAGGAAAAUAUUGGGUUAAAUCCCAAAACGACAAAUAACUUUAGCGUCUUGGGAAAGCAAUUAGUGGAUGGGUUGGAACUUUUGAAGGAAGCUGCUGGCCAGGUGGAUCGUGGGCUCGUGAUGGCAGAAUUGGGUAUACAAAAUAGGUCACUGUUAGACCCAGUAAGCCAUAUUAAAGCUGCGAUGGGAAAUAACGAUAACAUUAAGGGUGAUGGGCCUGUUUUAACGGAUCAAGAAAUUAGGGGCUUGGAACUAUCUUUUAAUUCGGACAGUGUCGAUACAGUGCAUGGAGUCUUCCAAAUAACAACGCAUCUUCGACUGAUUUUAAUUAAAGGAAGGUUAAUUCCAUUCGGGCAUUACUGCUCAAAUUAAUCCUAUUUUUGAGGGUCCUGUGGAAUCAGUAGUAGAAAUUAAUAAGGAACUACUUGAUUCUAGUAACCACUCUGCGAUUACUUUUAAGGAAAAAAAUAGACUAAAUAUUGCUAAAUAUACUGAAGCUGGUAUUUCGGUUGGAAGAGAG
RNAcentral lists this long non-coding RNA (4511 nucleotides) under Gossypium barbadense (sea-island cotton). RNAcentral describes it as "long non-coding RNA (GBAR_LNC006979)". The record is from RNAcentral. Lineage: Eukaryota; Viridiplantae; Streptophyta; Magnoliopsida; Malvales; Malvaceae.